Molecule: small nuclear RNA, 105 nt
Filed under: Octodon degus (degu)
Lineage: Eukaryota; Metazoa; Chordata; Mammalia; Rodentia; Octodontidae
Source: RNAcentral
GUGCUCGCUUCGACAGCACAUAUAUUAAAAUUGGAAUGAUACAGAGAGGAUUAGCAUGGCCCCUGCACAAGGGUGACACAGAUUUGUGAAACGUUCCAUAUUUUU